RNAcentral lists this transfer RNA (63 nucleotides) under Phyllotreta hemipoda. Its description in RNAcentral is "tRNA-Thr". The record is from RNAcentral. Lineage: Eukaryota; Metazoa; Arthropoda; Insecta; Coleoptera; Chrysomelidae.
GUUUUAGUAAUUUAAUAAAAAUAUUGAUCUUGUAAAUCAAAAAUAAAAUAACUUUCUAAAACU